Molecule: ribosomal RNA, 1859 nt
Filed under: human gut metagenome
Description: bacterial LSU rRNA
Rfam family: Bacterial large subunit ribosomal RNA
Source: RNAcentral
UCAUAAACAACCAGGAUGUUGGCUCAGAAGCAGCCACCAUUUAAAGAGUGCGUAAUAGCUCACUGGUCGAGAGACCCUGCGCCGAAGAUUCCCGGGGCUAAAGUACGAAACCGAAGCUGUGGCUGUAUACGUAAAGUAUACGGGGUAGGGGAGCGUUCCCAUAGGGUAGAAGUCGAACUGGAAGGUUCGGUGGACUUGUGGGAAGUGAGAAUGUUGGUAUGAGUAGCGAAAAGAAAGGUGAGAAUCCUUUCCACCGAAAGCAUAAGGAUUCCUGAGCAACGAUCGUCGUCUCAGGGUAAGUCGGGACCUAAUCCGAGGCAGAGAGCGUAGGAGAUGGACAACUGGUUGAUAUUCCAGUACCGGUAGUAAUUGUUUGAGCAAUGGAGUGACACAGAAGGGCAGGCAAGCAUGCGAAUGGAAGAGCAUGUGUAAGCGUGUAGGGUGGUGCAUAGGCAAAUCCGUGCACUGAAAGCCUGAGGCGUGAUGCGGAGUGAGCAGAGAUGCGAGCGAAGUUGUUGACCCCACACUGUCGAGAAAAGCUUCUAGUGAGAGAGCUACCGCCCGUACCGUAAACCGACACAGGUAUGCGGGGAGAGAAUCCUAAGGUGCGCGGGAGAACCCUCGUUAAGGAACUCGGCAAAAUGUACCCGUAACUUCGGGAUAAGGGUAGCCACUGUUGUGAAGUCCCAUGCGGAUGGAGCAUAGAGUGGUCGCAGAGAAGAGGCCCAAGCGACUGUUUACCAUAAACACAGGUGCCUGCUAAAGCGAAAGCUGACGUAUAGGUGCUGACACCUGCCCAGUGCCGGAAGGUUAAGGAAGGAUGUUCGGAGUAAUCCAAAGCAUUCGACUGAAGCCCCGGUGAACGGCGGCCGUAACUAUAACGGUCCUAAGGUAGCGAAAUUCCUUGUCGGGUAAGUUCCGACCCGCACGAAAGGUGUAACGACUUGGGCACUGUCUCAACGAGGGACCCGGUGAAAUUGAAGUACCUGUGAAGAUGCAGGUUACCCGCGACUGGACAGAAAGACCCCAUGGAGCUUUACUGUAACCUGACAUUGGGUUUUGAUACAUUACGUACAGGAUAGGUGGGAGGCAUGGAAAGCUGGACGCUAGUCUGGCUGGAGCCGACGUUGGGAUACCACCCUUGAUGUAUUGAAAUUCUAACCGCGAGAGUAACGAAAUCCGGGACAGUGUCAGGCGGGCAGUUUGACUGGGGCGGUCGCCUCCGAAAGAGUAACGGAGGCGCCCAAAGGUUCCCUCAGCGCGGCCGGAAAUCGCGCGAAGAGUGUAAAGGCAGAAGGGAGCUUGACUGCGAGUCAAACACGACGAGCAGGUACGAAAGUAGGGCUUAGUGAUCCGGUGGUACCGAGUGGAAGGGCCAUCGCUCAACGGAUAAAAGCUACCCUGGGGAUAACAGGCUAAUCUCUCCCAAGAGUCCAUAUCGACGGGGAGGUUUGGCACCUCGAUGUCGGCUCAUCACAUCCUGGGGCUGAAGUCGGUCCCAAGGGUUGGGCUGUUCGCCCAUUAAAGUGGUACGUGAGCUGGGUUCAGAACGUCGUGAGACAGUUCGGUCCCUAUCCAUCGCGGGCGCAAGAGAUUUGAAGGGGGCUGCUCCUAGUACGAGAGGACCGGAGUGGACGAACCGCUGGUGUACCAAUUAUCCCGCCAGGGGUACAGUUGGGUAGCUACGUUCGGAAAGGAUAAACGCUGAAAGCAUCUAAGCGUGAAACCAGCCUUAAGAUGAGAUCUCUCAUAGAGCAAUCUAGUAAGACACCUUAAAGAAGAUGAGGUUGAUAGGUCGGGAGUGUAAGUACAGCAAUGUAUUGAGCGGACCGAUACUAAUAUGUCGAGGGCUUGACUUA